AGAAUCAACGCUGGCGGCGUGCCUCAGACAUGCAAGUCGAACGCGAAAGUUCCCUUCGGGGAGCAAGUAGAGUGGCGCACGGGUGAGUAACACGUAGGUAAUCUACCUUCGGAUGGGGGAAUAACAACCGGAAACGGUUGCUAAUACCGCAUAAUGCAGCGGCACCUAAUGGUGACAGUUGUUAAAGCGGGGGAUCGCAAGACCUCGCGUCUGGAGAGGAGCCUGCGGCGGAUUAGCUUGUUGGUGAGGUAAUGGCUCACCAAGGCGAUGAUCCGUA
RNAcentral lists this ribosomal RNA (277 nucleotides) under uncultured bacterium. RNAcentral's name for it is "partial small subunit ribosomal RNA". It matches the Rfam family "Bacterial small subunit ribosomal RNA", at positions 26 to 285 of the family's 1533-position model. The record is from RNAcentral.